CCGUCCCACCAACUUCGGCUC
RNAcentral lists this non-coding RNA (21 nucleotides) under Arabidopsis thaliana (thale cress). Lineage: Eukaryota; Viridiplantae; Streptophyta; Magnoliopsida; Brassicales; Brassicaceae. The record is from RNAcentral.